GACAAUAGCAUUGAGUAUUAGGAAUUAACUGCCGGAUGAGUAGAUGGGAAAUAGGAAGCAAAUUUAAUAGUAUAUAAUGAAAGAUUAUGGUUAUUAAGAAUGAAAACAUUGCAGUAAAGAAAAUAUGCUAGUCGAAAGAAAGACAAGAAAGAGUGCAAGCAAGAGUAUCGUUGCAAAAUGAUCAAGAACUAAAGUUAAAAAAGAAGCAUCAACAAAGUUAGAUUAAGCAAUAGUUGCAUGCCUGUUGGCAUAUCCGAGCAUACCUAGAAGCUGACCAUUUUCUAAUAUUUCAAAUAUAUAUACCAUUAAGAAAAUUACCAAGAACACUUGCAAGAAAUUUUGUCA
This 345-nucleotide long non-coding RNA is filed under the name Physcomitrium patens. RNAcentral's name for it is "long non-coding RNA (PPAT_LNC005171)". Lineage: Eukaryota; Viridiplantae; Streptophyta; Bryopsida; Funariales; Funariaceae. The record is from RNAcentral.